Molecule: ribosomal RNA, 788 nt
Filed under: uncultured bacterium
Lineage: Bacteria
Description: bacterial SSU rRNA
Rfam family: Bacterial small subunit ribosomal RNA
Source: RNAcentral
AGUCGAGGGGCAGCACAGGUAGCAAUACCGGGUGGCGACCGGCGCACGGGUGAGUAACGCGUAUGCAACUUGCCUAUCAGAGGGGGAUAACCCGGCGAAAGUCGGACUAAUACCGCAUGAAGCAGGGGCCCCGCAUGGGGAUAUUUGCUAAAGAUUCAUCGCUGAUAGAUAGGCAUGCGUUCCAUUAGGCAGUUGGCGGGGUAACGGCCCACCAAACCGACGAUGGAUAGGGGUUCUGAGAGGAAGGUCCCCCACAUUGGUACUGAGACACGGACCAAACUCCUACGGGAGGCAGCAGUGAGGAAUAUUGGUCAAUGGGCGUAAGCCUGAACCAGCCAAGUCGCGUGAGGGAUGAAGGUUCUAUGGAUCGUAAACCUCUUUUAUAAGGGAAUAAAGUGCGGGACGUGUCCCGUUUUGUAUGUACCUUAUGAAUAAGGAUCGGCUAACUCCGUGCCAGCAGCCGCGGUAAUACGGAGGAUCCGAGCGUUAUCCGGAUUUAUUGGGUUUAAAGGGUGCGUAGGCGGCCUUUUAAGUCAGCGGUGAAAGUCUGUGGCUCAACCAUAGAAUUGCCGUUGAAACUGGGGGGCUUGAGUAUGUUUGAGGCAGGCGGAAUGCGUGGUGUAGCGGUGAAAUGCAUAGAUAUCACGCAGAACCCCGAUUGCGAAGGCAGCCUGCCAAGCCAUUACUGACGCUGAUGCACGAAAGCGUGGGGAUCAAACAGGAUUAGAUACCCUGGUAGUCCACGCAGUAAACGAUGAUCACUAGCUGUUUGCGAUACACUGUAAGCG